RNAcentral lists this ribosomal RNA (549 nucleotides) under Rhinodoras gallagheri. RNAcentral describes it as "partial large subunit ribosomal RNA". It matches the Rfam family "Bacterial large subunit ribosomal RNA", at positions 1850 to 2602 of the family's 2925-position model. The record is from RNAcentral. Lineage: Eukaryota; Metazoa; Chordata; Actinopteri; Siluriformes; Doradidae.
AGGUCUUGCCUGCCCAGUGACAAGUUAAACGGCCGCGGUAUUUUGACCGUGCGAAGGUAGCGCAAUCACUUGUCUUUUAAAUGAAGACCCGUAUGAAUGGCGGAACGAGGGCUUAACUGUCUCCCUUUUCAAGUCAAUGAAAUUGAUCUGCCCGUGCAGAAGCGGACAUAUAAAUACAAGACGAGAAGACCCUUUGGAGCUUAAGAUACAAGAUCAACUACGUCAAGGGCCCUUAAAUUUAAACCAAACUAAGUAAUAUCUGAUCUAUAUCUUCGGUUGGGGCGACCACGGGAGAAAACAAAGCUCCCAUGCGGACCGGGGCUAUAACCCUAAAACCAAGAAAGACAUUUCUAAGUCACAGAACAUCUGACCACAGAGAUCCGGCCUACCGGCCGAUCAACGGACCAAGUUACCCUAGGGAUAACAGCGCAAUCCCCUUUCAGAGUCCAUAUCGACAAGGGGGUUUACGACCUCGAUGUUGGAUCAGGACAUCCUAAUGGUGCAGCCGCUAUUAAGGGUUCGUUUGUUCAACGAUUAAAGUCCUACGUG